Molecule: ribosomal RNA, 255 nt
Filed under: uncultured bacterium
Lineage: Bacteria
Description: partial 16S ribosomal RNA
Rfam family: Bacterial small subunit ribosomal RNA
Source: RNAcentral
UACGAAGGGUGCGAGCGUUGUUCGGAAUUAUUGGGCGUAAAGCGCACGUAGGCGGCUGGGUAAGUCUGUCUGUGAAAGCCCGGGGCUCAACCCCGUGGAUUGCAGGGGAUACUGCCUGGCUGGAGACAAGCAGAGGUUGGUAGAAUUCCGGGUGUAGCGGUGGAAUGCGUAGAGAUCCGGAGGAAUACCAGAGGCGAAGGCGGCCAACUGGGCUUGUUCUGACGCUGAGGUGCGAAAGCGUGGGGAGCGAACAGG